This is a non-coding RNA of Schizosaccharomyces pombe (fission yeast), 268 nucleotides long. NCBI's taxonomy places the organism in Eukaryota, Fungi, Ascomycota, Schizosaccharomycetes, Schizosaccharomycetales, Schizosaccharomycetaceae. The record is from the annotation of a GenBank genome assembly.
AUUAGUAAAAUUGCCCCAAAUGAGGGACGAACUCAAAAAUGAUGCAUCCGGAGCUGACCUUAGCCAGUCCACAGUUAUUCGUCAGGGCUCAGUGCAAUGCCAAGACAAAUAACUGAGUCUCCACAAUUCUUGUGCUGCAGAAACUCAUGCCAGGUAAGUAAAGAACCGUAAGUGUAAGCACCCAUAUUUAUAGUAACGACGCGGAACGAAGCAGUCACGAAAGUAGUCACAUUCUUACAUGCAAUAAAGAAGUACAGUAUAAUUAUUU